GAUGAACGCUGGCGGCGUGCCUAAUACAUGCAAGUCGAGCGAACAGACGAGGAGCUUGCUCCUCUGACGUUAGCGGCGGACGGGUGAGUAACACGUGGAUAACCUACCUAUAAGACUGGGAUAACUUCGGGAAACCGGAGCUAAUACCGGAUAACAUGUUGAACCGCAUGGUUCAACAGUGAAAGACGGUCUUGCUGUCACUUAUAGAUGGAUCCGCGCCGCAUUAGCUAGUUGGUAAGGUAACGGCUUACCAAGGCAACGAUGCGUAGCCGACCUGAGAGGGUGAUCGGCCACACUGGAACUGAGACACGGUCCAGACUCCUACGGGAGGCAGCAGUAGGGAAUCUUCCGCAAUGGGCGAAAGCCUGACGGAGCAACGCCGCGUGAGUGAAGAAGGUCUUCGGAUCGUAAAACUCUAUUAUUAGGGAAGAACAAAUGUGUAAGUAACUAUGCACGUCUUGACGGUACCUAAUCAGAAAGCCACGGCUAACUACGUG
RNAcentral lists this ribosomal RNA (497 nucleotides) under uncultured bacterium. RNAcentral's name for it is "partial 16S ribosomal RNA". It matches the Rfam family "Bacterial small subunit ribosomal RNA", at positions 28 to 507 of the family's 1533-position model. The record is from RNAcentral.